Molecule: non-coding RNA, 350 nt
Organism: Firmicutes bacterium CAG:646
Lineage: Bacteria; Bacillati; Bacillota
Rfam family: transfer-messenger RNA
About the family: Bacterial tmRNA, also known as 10Sa RNA or SsrA, is named for its dual tRNA and mRNA-like properties. Its role is to liberate the mRNA from a stalled ribosome.
Source: Rfam
GGGCUUGUACUGGUUUCGACGGGGGUUUUGAAGUUUGGGAAGCCAUUCGCAGUUCCGGGACUGCGUCAUCAACCUGGAAAUUAAAUUUAAACGCAGACGAAAAUUUAGCGUACGCUGCCUAAUGGCAGCUGUCGCAGUUUAAGCCUCCCGCAGUUUAAACUGCGGCAUCAAAUUUUGCGGGGCACUUUUUCUUCAAAGCUUUGAGAGGAAAAAAGAUUUUAUGAAGCUACUGAUCUCUGCAGCCUGUCAUCCGGCGGCAGUCUGAGGGAAUGCUAAAAGAAUGACUGUAAUGGGAGAUGCCUGAAUGAAUAGGCUUUCGGACAGGGGUUCGAUUCCCCUCAGGUCCAUAC